CACUAUCAGGGCCAUGCUGCCUGGCUUCCUUUAUCUGCUCUAGCAAGAAAGCAUGCAUGAAGAAGAGCGGUCAGGAGACACCUGGUGAGUGGCUGAAGAUCAUAUCUGCACAACACAGAGACAUAACAAGAAGGAAAGACAUUACACUUUCUAGACCAUAUUUCCACACUGAGGGACAGGACCCUGCAGAGCUCCCCUAUCUCCAGCAGCUUCCUGUCAUGAGUAGUGAAGACCGAGAAUCCAGGAAUGUGUCUACUGUAAUCCUAAGAAAUCUGCAUUUGGGAGGGGCUGACAUUUUGUUUUAUCUGGUUCAUUCUUUAAAUAUUAUCUCCAAUUUCCAUGUCUGGCUUACAGCAUGUAAAGACAGACAUUAAACAUCUGAGAGACAACCCAGAUCAGAGGCAUCCAGAUUUUGAUGUGUAAAAGAUGAACUGUUAUAAAAACCAAUAUCAGUGCAGGAUGUUACUGUAAUUGUGGUGGCACUUUCAGUAAUCAGAAUGGACUUGAGAAAUGCCAGUAUAGAAAUGUAGGCAGGGGGAUCCCUCUUUGCCAUGCUCUGGGAAGGCUCUAGAUGACCAGGUUCAUCUGACAUGUCCUUAUGUCUCACUUCCUCCUGCCUCCUCGGUUGGCCCCGAGGCUGGCUGUCCCACAAGCACCCCAAGUGCUCCCUUGGCCUUAGCAGAAGGCCCAUAAAAACACAUUCUUCAAACAGCUUUCAAACAACUGAGAUUAUUUUACUACCUCAGGCUGAAAAUAAAACUGAUGGGAGCUUAGGCUCUUUUUGGUUU
Molecule: long non-coding RNA, 788 nt
Filed under: Struthio camelus australis
Lineage: Eukaryota; Metazoa; Chordata; Aves; Struthioniformes; Struthionidae
Description: lncRNA (ENSSCUG00000000535.1)
Source: RNAcentral